CGGUCCAGACUCCUACGGGAGGCAGCAGUGGGGAAUAUUGCACAAUGGGCGAAAGCCUGAUGCAGCGACGCCGCGUGGGGGAUGAAGGCCUUCGGGUUGUAAACUCCUUUCGCUAGGGACGAAGAUGUAUUUUGACGGUACCUGGAGAAGAAGCACCGGCUAACUACGUGCCAGCAGCCGCGGUAA
Molecule: ribosomal RNA, 186 nt
Filed under: Corynebacterium callunae
Lineage: Bacteria; Bacillati; Actinomycetota; Actinomycetes; Mycobacteriales; Corynebacteriaceae
Description: partial 16S ribosomal RNA
Rfam family: Bacterial small subunit ribosomal RNA
Source: RNAcentral